RNAcentral lists this long non-coding RNA (981 nucleotides) under Mytilus galloprovincialis (Mediterranean mussel). Lineage: Eukaryota; Metazoa; Mollusca; Bivalvia; Mytilida; Mytilidae. The record is from RNAcentral.
GUUUUUCCUGGUAUUAAUAUUGAUUUUGUUAUCAGAAAAUUAAAAGCAAACUAAAUAUUACUGUUAUAUACAUAUACAGAUUCAAAGAUCUAUAAUCUGUCUAAACCUGUAUCUUGGCAUUAUACAGUCAUGUUUUCCUCUGACUGUUUAAAUGACUUCUUUACACUAAAUCCAUUGGAUGUUGGAUGUGUACUGAUUGAUAAUUUAGUCCAAGAUCGAGAUUUUUUUAUUAGAUGAUAGUGGCUUUAAACUAGCUGCCAGUAGCUGUGAGUACUCUCAGAUCUGCACUUAGCUGUCUUUUUGUUGUUGGGAUAAAUAAACAAGUACCCAGCCAUGUCUACUCUGUGUUGUAUUUCUAUUUGUAUCAUUUGAUGAGUUAAGCCUUUUUCAACUGAUUUUUAUAGUUUAUUCUUAUGUUGUACUUUCACACCACUGUCCCAAGUUAGAGGGAGGGUUUGGAUCUCGCUUACAUGUUGAACCCCACUCCCACACAUUCUGUACAAAUGUGCCUGUCAGGAGCCUGUUAUUCAGUUGUUAAUGUUUGUUGAUGUGUUACAUAUUAUUUUUUUUCGUUAAUUUUUUUGUACUUAAAUUAGGUGGUUUGUUUUCUUGUUUGAAAUGUUUUACAUUUGUCAUUUCACGGCCUUUUAUAGCUGACUGUAUGGUAUGGGCUUUGCUCAUUGUUGAAGGUUGUACGAUUAACUAUAGUCAUGAUCAUGUCAGAUGAUAGUUGUUAAUUUCUUUGUCAUUUGGUCUCUUGUGGAGAGUUGUCUCAUUGGCAAUCAUACCACAUCUUCUUUUUUUAUAUUUGGGACAUUCAAGGAAACAAUUCUUUUAAAAAUAUUUGUUCUGCAAUGAUUUUCAAACUUGUCUAAAAUAUUGAUGACAUAAAACUUAACAUAAAUUUCAUAACAAGAGUGCACACACUGAAAUGUCUCUACUUCUUUACUAAUCAUUGAUAUUAUGUUGAUGGUCCUAAAU